AUCUAGAUGACGAGUUUCAAAUAGGACGAAAUGCGCAUCCUGGAU
This 45-nucleotide non-coding RNA is filed under the name Trichobilharzia regenti. Lineage: Eukaryota; Metazoa; Platyhelminthes; Trematoda; Strigeidida; Schistosomatidae. The record is from RNAcentral.